UUGUUAACUUUUGGGUCUCCGUAUUCCUGCCUCCAAAUCAAGAAGACGAAGCUCUCUAUCUCAACAAUCGUAUUGGCAGACCUUCCAAUAGAGAUCCACAAUAUGAGAAGACUGGUAGGUUAAAAAGAGAAUCGGAUGUGUAUAGUUUUGGAGUUGUAUUGUUUGAAAUUCUAUGUGGGAGGAGAGCCAGUGACUCAAUUUACAAGAAGAAGAAUGUGAGAGGGUUAGGUCGUGUGGCAAGACAAAGCUUCUGCAUGGGAACACUAGAGGACAUGAUAGAUCCUAUAUUAAAGGAAGAAAUCGGUGAAAACAAUGUCGUUCUAAAUAAAGGACCCAACAAGGAUUCUUUGCACACAUUCAUCGAAAUUGCAUAUCAAUGUGUGGCGGAAACUCAAGACCAACGUCCUACAAUAAAAGUCGUUGUCAAGGAACUUGAGAAAGCAUUAUUAUUUCAAUUGAAUUCAGAGGUUAAAUCUGAUUACGUGGAGGAGAAUAGUCAUGCUUCCAUAAUUGAGACGCAAGUAGUUGAGCUUUCUAGUGAAUUGAACAGUAUGAACACGACUGACAAAUCUGAAAGUUCUGAAAUUCAAAACCAAAGACUCAGCUGAAUCUGAAUCUGGCUGUUGUUGGCCAUGUGGAUUCAGGAAAGUUAAAGACUCUCAGGAAGGCUGCUACACAUUCUCAGUCAAAUAUCUCAAAAACAGAUACACAAAUAUGAAAAUGAGGCUAAGUUGCAGGUACUUUUGGUUGUU
Long non-coding RNA from Helianthus annuus (common sunflower), 752 nucleotides. RefSeq lists it as uncharacterized. Lineage: Eukaryota; Viridiplantae; Streptophyta; Magnoliopsida; Asterales; Asteraceae. The record is from RefSeq and is a predicted model, not a curated record. The transcript has 3 exons.